Molecule: ribosomal RNA, 253 nt
Filed under: uncultured bacterium
Lineage: Bacteria
Description: partial 16S ribosomal RNA
Rfam family: Bacterial small subunit ribosomal RNA
Source: RNAcentral
UACGAAGGGGACUAGCGUUGUUCGGAAUUACUGGGCGUAAAGCGCACGUAGGCGGAUUGCUAAGUCAGGGGUGAAAUCCCGGGGCUCAACCUCGGAACUGCCUUUGAUACUGGCAAUCUCGAGUCCGAUAGAGGUGGGUGGAAUUCCUAGUGUAGAGGUGAAAUUCGUAGAUAUUAGGAAGAACACCGGUGGCGAAGGCGGCCCACUGGAUCGGUACUGACGCUGAGGUGCGAAAGCGUGGGGAGCAAACAGG